UUUGUUUUAGCAACCUUUUCUUUCUUAGAGCGUGGAUCCCGUCGAGUACGACGGACGUGAGGGGUGCUAAUACCUUCCCCUUGCGUAACCGACUCCCUUACCCUUUCUCUUUGGUCGCGAGACCAUGUCUUUUCCAGGUUUACUCUGAGCGUUUCCUUUCCCUCUUUUGGGAUAAAUAACGCACGGUGGCGGCUCUGUUGUCC
This 203-nucleotide long non-coding RNA is filed under the name Lathyrus oleraceus (garden pea). RNAcentral's name for it is "Pisum sativum (pea) long non-coding RNA (PSAT_LNC018044)". Lineage: Eukaryota; Viridiplantae; Streptophyta; Magnoliopsida; Fabales; Fabaceae. The record is from RNAcentral.